RNAcentral lists this long non-coding RNA (1013 nucleotides) under Calidris pygmaea (Spoon-billed sandpiper). RNAcentral describes it as "lncRNA (ENSCPGG00000012869.1)". The record is from RNAcentral. Lineage: Eukaryota; Metazoa; Chordata; Aves; Charadriiformes; Scolopacidae.
GUUUCAUAAGCUAAUACACAAAGAGUGGUGAGGUUUUCACAUUAUAGCUCUUGGGAUGGGGGAAGCAGAGACUACCGAUCAAAUCCGUUUUUACUAACAGCACCGUUGCACAAUUGUAACGCUAAAUUGGAUUUCAUAAUCCAAUUUUCAUAAACCAAUGGUUUCAUAAAGUAGAAAGUUCAGUGUGGCACAAGGUAAGGCGCUGCUCUUACCCAGCACUUAAAAGGAGCAUAGAAACAAACCCAAUCUUUGCACAGUCCCAGCCAGCCAGCUUCAUAAACUGUUACCUUUAGCCGCUGGAGCGAUACUCUACUUCCUAGAUAAAGUAAAAACAAUAACCUACACAUAGGCCGUGUUUUUAGGCCGGCUCUAGCACCUUCCCUUCCCUUCCCUUCCCUUCCCUUCCCUUCCCUUCCCUUCCCGGCCCCCGGAGGCAGCAGCCGCCCUCGGCGGAAGAUAUUUCUAGACUUGAAGCAAUUUACGUGCAAAAGCCAAUUAGCGCGUCUGCAAACGGACACAUUGAUCUCUGCUUUCUCUCCUUCCUUCCUUCCUUCCCGCCCGGCCCGCUUUCCCGGCCCCCGCCCCCGGGCCCGGGCCGACCCGCCGCCGCCACCAUGCCGCGGGGCCCCCUGGGUACUGUAGUUUUCGGCGGCGGCGCGGCGGAGGAUGCUUUCCCGCUCCUUAAAAUCCCCCUGAAGGAAAGCCCUGACCUAGUGGAAGAGUUGCCCGACUUCUUGGUGAGCCCUGCCUUUUGUGGAGGAUAAAGACUAAUGGCCGAUCGAGUGCUUGUGAUUGGCAGUGGAGGGAGAGAGCAUGCGCUGGCCUGGAAGUUGGCCCAGUCUCCACAUGUAAAACAUGUGUAUGUUGCUCCAGGAAAUGCAGGAACAGCUGACAAUGGAAAAAUUUCAAAUUCAGGUAAAAAUUAAAAAAUACCUUCUUAAAAUUUGCUAACUCAACAAGUAAGUUGUUCCAUUCAUCAAUCUGUUAAUAUGAAAAGAUUAUUAUUAUUACUA